Fukomys damarensis (Damara mole-rat) is the source of this 129-nucleotide ribosomal RNA. The record is from Ensembl. NCBI's taxonomy places the organism in Eukaryota, Metazoa, Chordata, Mammalia, Rodentia, Bathyergidae.
AGCCAUACCACCUUAAAUGUGCCCGAUCUCAUCUGAUCUCAGAAGGUAAGCAGGGUCGGGCCUAGUUAGUAAUGAAAUACAGACAUUCCUCAUCUAACAACUGAGUUCACUUCCUAUAACUAGGUCAUU